RNAcentral lists this ribosomal RNA (469 nucleotides) under uncultured bacterium. Its description in RNAcentral is "bacterial SSU rRNA". It matches the Rfam family "Bacterial small subunit ribosomal RNA", at positions 29 to 506 of the family's 1533-position model. The record is from RNAcentral.
AUGAACGCUAGCGGCAGGCCUAAUACAUGCAAGUCGAACGGGUGUAGCAAUACACUAGUGGCGCACGGGUGCGUAACGCGUAACCAACCUACCCGAAACUGGGGGAUAGCCCGCCGAAAGGCGGAUUAAUACCGCAUAACACUGUUUGCCGGCAUCGGUGGGCAGUUAAAGAUUAAUUGGUUUCGGAUGGGGUUGCGUAGCAUUAGCUAGAUGGCGGGGUAACGGCCCACCAUGGCGACGAUGCUUAGGGGACCUGAGAGGGUGAUCCCCCACACUGGCACUGAGAUACGGGCCAGACUCCUACGGGAGGCAGCAGUAGGGAAUAUUGGGCAAUGGGCGAGAGCCUGACCCAGCCAUGCCGCGUGCCGGAUGAAGGCCUUCUGGGUUGUAAACGGCUUUUCUCAGGGAAGAAAAAGAGGAUGCGUCCUAAACUGACGGUACCUGAGGAAUAAGCACCGGCUAACUCCGU